Molecule: RNA transcript, 2308 nt
Organism: Apis cerana (Asiatic honeybee)
Lineage: Eukaryota; Metazoa; Arthropoda; Insecta; Hymenoptera; Apidae
Gene name: cytochrome b5
Source: RefSeq, a predicted model, not a curated record
CAAAAUGAAUAUUUCCUCUUGAAAUUCCCAAUCUGUAAUCAAUGUAAUGUGACGCGCAUUAUCUUUGUUUAACGAUGUGUGCGAAAUCAAUCAUGAUUAUAUAUGUAUAGUUGUUCAAAAUUAUUUUCAUCCAAGUAUCUCCUCUCAUUUAACGAUGGAAUAGUGAAGAGACUUGAUCUUUCCAAGCGUUUCCAUCAUUUAAUAAAUCUCAAUAUUUUCUUUUUUUUCUUCUUUUCUCUAAUUAAGUAUUUAUAUAUUUUAAAUAUUUGUAUAGUGAAAUUGUAUUUUUUAUAAAUAAAAAAAAUGAACGAAUUAGCGAGAUACUCGUUGAAAGAAGUUGCGACACGAGAUGGAAAAGAAGAAACGAGAGUGUGGAUCGUUAUUUACGAUAUGGUUUAUGACGUGACGGAUUACAAGGAUGAGCAUCCUGGUGGGCCAGAAUUGAUCGAAGAAUAUGCAGGACAAGAUGCAACACGUGGUUUUGAUGAGUUUGGUCAUAGUACAGAUGCAAAACGUAUACUAAAGAAAUAUCUUGUGGGUGAAUUAAUAGAGGAAGACAAAAUAAGAAAUAGAAGAAAAAAGAAUGAAAUCUCUAUAGAGGAAAAAGGUAGAAAAAGAAGCUUAUCUAAAUCUGAUAUAAAUUAAUAAUCUAUUCUACUCACAUAACGUGAUGAUAAUACGUACGAUCAGAGAUCUAGUUUGACGACCAGCCUUGCCACACGACAAGACUUUGUUAAACGUUUUGGAAGUUGGGAUCAUGUUAAAUGGGGGAGGCACGGUGUCGCCAUCUUCGAAGUAACUCAUCCACAAGUGGCUCCUGGCAAAUUUCCAUUCCGUAUCGGAUCUUUCCUAUUCGUAUGCGCAUUGUAUUAACGAAUUCGAUAAUUAUUUCGCUACUGAAAAAUUCAUGAAUGAAAAUAUACUUUACUACUUUAUCGUACCGAGAUUAUUUGAUAGGAGUUGGACAUCAUAGCGAUAAGCAUGUUUAGUAAGACGAUCACAUUUAUCACGGAAUAAGAGCCGAACAUGAGCAACGCCCAGAAUCUGGUGAAACUUUUUAUUCCAGUUAGAUCAAACGACAUUAGAUCAACCAUACCGAAACUGGCCCAGAAAAGCGAUUGUGAUGUCUCGAACAAGCUGAAGAUAAUUAUUUAUAGAUUAAUUUCCUAAAUAAUAUUUUUUAGCAAAGAGUACAAUCGAAUAAUCGUCAUAUACUUGGCGAAACGUCUCCAUAUCGAGCAAGCUUUCUCCUGAUUAUCGAAGUCGGGCAGAUCUGGAAAAUCUUUUAUGUUAUAGCACUUUUGUUUCUCCAGAUCCGCGUAGUACCACAUCAGUUGAUUCAUUCCUGAAUUUUGCAAGAAAAAAGAAAUGAUUGAAAAAAAACGAUAAGUAUAAAAAAUAUAUGGAAUUUUCAGAAGAAUGAAAACUAUUGAAACAAUAAUUGUUGAAUUUUUUUACCAAAUGUUGUGUUUAAUAUCUUGCUAAGUAAGAAGCUAAAUAAAUAAAUGGCAGGGAACUCACCACAUCCAAAGGCGAACAAUACUAGAGUAUAGAUGAAGAAGAACUUGAUAAUGUCUAUUAUCAUCCUCCCAAGGGAAAUUUGAAGUGGUCCGAGAUGGGGGUUCACGCUGAAUAUGUGAACUAACUUUAAAAAACUAGAAAAAGAAAAAGACGGAUAUUUUCGUCUCAAAGUGAAAUUUUUAUGAUGAAUUAUCACGAACGAAGAAAUUUGGAUAACUUUGCAUUACCUGAAAAUCAUCCCAGCGGCGAAAGCUCCCUCGGACAAAAGCAUGGGAUCGAAGGCGUGCCAUUGAUCUCUGGGAUACCAAGGGUCCAACCCAUUUCUAUACUCUUUCUAUCGGGUGAACGAUCGAAUCAAACGAUUGCUAUCAUGCCAAUCGAAAGUUAGAAAUUUAAGAAAAAGAAAAAGAAUGUAUACUUGGACGAUAAUCCACGCAGUUAUUCUCAACAUAAUCCAAAUCACGUAAAACAUAUUUUGAACGAAAUCCACUAUAUUCCAAAGAUCCGAUAUAUACUCCAUCAAUCCGUCCGACCAUAAUGAUCUUAUUUCUCCAAGGAUCAAGCCUGAAAGAUUUAAUCUGCUUUAAAAAAAAUUUAUGUUAUACAGUGUGUGUGAUUUUUUCUCGGAAAAAAAUAUAAAUGAAAAUUAUAUAAAAAAUUGUUUGAAAUGAAAACUUGUUGUAUCGAAAAGCAUGUAAUUCCAAAUUUUUAUUUGCAAUUGAAAGGAUUUAUCAAGACACUUUAUUAAUGAAUAUUGUAUCAAUGAUAAAUAAAAUGGAAAAUAGGA